UUAAUUGAAGAGUUUGAUCAUGGCUCAGAUUGAACGCUGGCGGCAGGCCUAACACAUGCAAGUCGAGCGGCAGCGACAGUAACAAUCCUUCGGGUGCGUUAYUGGGCGGCGAGCGGCGGACGGGUGAGUAAUGCCUGGGAAUAUGCCUUAGUGUGGGGGAUAACUAUUGGAAACGAUAGCUAAUACCGCAUAAUGCCUACGGGCCAAAGAGGGGGACCUUCGGGCCUCUCG
Molecule: ribosomal RNA, 231 nt
Filed under: Photobacterium chitinilyticum
Lineage: Bacteria; Pseudomonadati; Pseudomonadota; Gammaproteobacteria; Vibrionales; Vibrionaceae
Description: Photobacterium sp. BEI 247 partial 16S ribosomal RNA
Rfam family: Bacterial small subunit ribosomal RNA
Source: RNAcentral